CACGUAGGGUGCGAGCGUUGUCCGGAAUUAUUGGGCGUAAAGGGUAGGUAGGUGGUCUCAUUUGUCUGAGGUGAAAUCCUUGGGCUUAACUCAAGAAGUGCCUCAGAAACGGUGAGACUGGAGUCCUGGAGAGGGUCGUGGAAUUCCCGGUGUAGCGGUGAAAUGCGUAGAGAUCGGGAGGAACACCAGAGGCGAAGGCGGCGACCUGGACAGGCACUGACACUCAACUACGAAAGCGUGGGGAGCAAACAGG
Molecule: ribosomal RNA, 253 nt
Filed under: uncultured bacterium
Lineage: Bacteria
Description: partial 16S ribosomal RNA
Rfam family: Bacterial small subunit ribosomal RNA
Source: RNAcentral